RNAcentral lists this non-coding RNA (218 nucleotides) under Oryza brachyantha (malo sina). Its description in RNAcentral is "Bacterial large subunit ribosomal RNA". It matches the Rfam family "Bacterial large subunit ribosomal RNA", at positions 629 to 800 of the family's 2925-position model. Lineage: Eukaryota; Viridiplantae; Streptophyta; Magnoliopsida; Poales; Poaceae. The record is from Rfam by way of RNAcentral.
UAUAGGCAGUGGCUUGGUUAAGAGAACGGAACCCACCGGAGCCAUAGCGAAAGCGAGUCUUCAUAGGGCGAUUGUCACUGCUUAUGGACCCGAACCUAGGUGAUCUAUCCAUGAUCAGGAUGAAGCUUGGAUGAAACUAAGCAGAGAUCCGUAUUACUAUAUUUUCCAUACCAGGAUAAGUUAACUUACCCAACCUCAAAACGAACACGGCCGUACGG